UCCCAUACCGAACACGGAAGUUAAGCUCUCUAGCGCCGAUGGUAGUUGGGACCUUGUCCCUGUGAGAGUAGGACGUCGCCAAGCA
This 85-nucleotide ribosomal RNA is filed under the name Streptococcus pneumoniae. RNAcentral also lists the same sequence under 2 other names. The record is from RNAcentral. Lineage: Bacteria; Bacillati; Bacillota; Bacilli; Lactobacillales; Streptococcaceae.